Molecule: ribosomal RNA, 402 nt
Filed under: bacterium
Lineage: Bacteria
Description: partial 16S ribosomal RNA
Rfam family: Bacterial small subunit ribosomal RNA
Source: RNAcentral
UGGGGAAUUUUGCACAAUGGGGGAAACCCUGAUGCAGCGACGCCGCGUGAUUUAGAAGGCCUUCGGGUUGUAAAAAUCUUUUCUAUGGGAAGAAAAUGACAGUACCAUAGGAAUAAGGACCGGCUAAUUACGUGCCAGCAGCCGCGGUAAUACGUAAGGUCCGAGCGUUGUCCGGAAUCAUUGGGCGUAAAGGGUACGUAGGCGGGUAAGCAAGUUAGAAGUGAAAUCCUAUAGCUCAACUAUAGUAAGCUUUUAAAACUGCUCAUCUUGAGAUAUGGAAAGGAAAGUGGAAUACCUAGUGUAGCGGUGAAAUGCGCAGAUAUUAGGAGUAAUACCGGUGGCGAAGGCGACUUUCUGGCCAUAACCUGACGCUGAGGUACGAAAGCGUGGGUAGCAAACAGG